RNAcentral lists this ribosomal RNA (840 nucleotides) under uncultured crenarchaeote. RNAcentral's name for it is "bacterial SSU rRNA". It matches the Rfam family "Archaeal small subunit ribosomal RNA", at positions 81 to 922 of the family's 1478-position model. Lineage: Archaea; Thermoproteati; Thermoproteota. The record is from RNAcentral.
GCAGACGGCUCAGUAACGCGUAGUUGACCUAACCUAUGGACGGGAAUAACCUCGGGAAACUGAGUAUAAUGCCCGAUAGAACACUAUACCUGGAAUGGUUUGUGUUCCAAAUGAUUUAUCGCCGUAGGAUGGGACUGCGGCCUAUCAGUUUGUUGGUGAGGUAAUGGCCCACCAAGACUAUUACAGGUACGGGCUCUGAGAGGAGUAGCCCGGAGAUGGGUACUGAGACACGGACCCAGGCCCUAUGGGGCGCAGCAGGCGAGAAAACUUUGCAAUGUGCGAAAGCACGACAAGGUUAAUCCGAGUGGUUUCUGCUAAAGAAACCUUUUGUUAGUCAUAAAACCACUAAUGAAUAAGGGGUGGGCAAGUUCUGGUGUCAGCCGCCGCGGUAAAACCAGCACCUCAAGUGGUCAGGAUGAUUAUUGGGCCUAAAGCAUCCGUAGCCGGCUCUGUAAGUUUUCGGUUAAAUCUGUACGCUCAACGUACAGGCUGCCGGGAAUACUGCAGAGCUAGGGAGUGGGAGAGGUAGACGGUACUCGGUAGGAAGGGGUAAAAUCCUUUGAUCUAUUGAUGACCACCUGUGGCGAAGGCGGUCUACCAGAACACGUCCGACGGUGAGGGAUGAAAGCUGGGGGAGCAAACCGGAUUAGAUACCCGGGUAGUCCCAGCUGUAAACUAUGCAAACUCAGUGAUGCAUUGGCUUGUGGCCAAUGCAGUGCUGCAGGGAAGCCGUUAAGUUUGCCGCCUGGGAAGUACGUACGCAAGUAUGAAACUUAAAGGAAUUGGCGGGGGAGCACCACAAGGGGUGAAGCCUGCGGUUCAAUUGGAGUCAACGCCGGG